Balaenoptera ricei (Rice's whale) is the source of this 1053-nucleotide long non-coding RNA. RefSeq lists it as uncharacterized. Lineage: Eukaryota; Metazoa; Chordata; Mammalia; Artiodactyla; Balaenopteridae. The record is from RefSeq and is a predicted model, not a curated record. The transcript is spliced from 2 exons.
AACUGGGGGAGAGGAGGCUACAGUUAGUACCCUUGAAAGAAUAAACUACUCUCCAUCCGAACAAAUGUAACUCAGCUGGGGGGAUCUACGAUGACUGAGCUAAUUCUUUUGUAUUUCUAAGCCUGUGAUAAAUCCCGAUUAAUUCCCACCUUGUUCCCUAGGAAACCUCACCCAAGGCACAUGGAACCUUGGGAGCUUCCUGCCUCAGGCCCUAAGUUACUGCGCUGGAAACCAGAGGCACCAGAGGCACCAUCGCUGGGACCUGUGUAUUUAAAAAAAGGCGCUUCUACCAAAGGAAUUCCAGAAAUUUUCACGAUUCAGGUGGCCACACGCGGCCCUGACCUCACCUCACCUCGCCUCACCGGGCCCGGACUCUCCACUGCUCCCCGGGCCCGGCGCAGCUUCGGAGCAGCCUGGGCGCCGGCCCCUGGGCCCUGACAAGCGCUCCUUAGUCACAGCCGUCAUCUCAACAGGUUCUUUCUGCUUCCGAGUAAAAUUAUCAAGAAGCCCAGAAUGGCUUCCCAGCUCUCACAGUGAACUCCAGUUUUCCCCCCCUGGCCCUCAAGGUCCUGUGUGUCCCGGCUCCCCGUCGCCUGCCUCUCUCGCCCUUGCUCUCUGCUCCAGCCACGCUAGCAUCAGCCACGCUCGGGCCUUCGCUCUCGUGCUCCUCUCAGCUGCAGCGCCCUUCCUUCUUCCAGACAGCUUUCCAGCCAUCUUCAGAUGCCACCUCCUUGGUCUUCUGGUCCCGUCUAUUUACAAUUUCAAACACCUACCUCUCCCUUAACUUGCUCUCCCCCUUCCUUGCUUUAUUAUUUCUCCUUAGCAUUUAUUACUGAAAAAUGGAAUAUAUUACUUUGAGUCAUAUGAAACUGUCAAUAUCUGUCCACUUUUUACCUACAAAAAUGGUCAUUUCAUGUGGUUCAACCUGAUACUUCACUUAGUUAUUCUGAUUGUUAAUCCACCUCCAUUCUCAACUUUAAGCUCCAACGAGGGCGGUGCUCAGAAUAGUGCCUGGCACAGAGCAGACUCUUAAUAAAACUUUUAUCAACGUCA